RNAcentral lists this ribosomal RNA (481 nucleotides) under uncultured bacterium. RNAcentral's name for it is "partial 16S ribosomal RNA". It matches the Rfam family "Bacterial small subunit ribosomal RNA", at positions 30 to 506 of the family's 1533-position model. The record is from RNAcentral.
AUUGAACGCUGGCGGCAUGCCUUACACAUGCAAGUCGAACGGUAACGGGCCUUCGGGUGCCGACGAGUGGCGAACGGGUGAGUAAUACAUCGGAACGUGCCCGAUCGUGGGGGAUAACGAGGCGAAAGCUUUGCUAAUACCGCAUACGAUCUACGGAUGAAAGCAGGGGACCGCAAGGCCUUGCGCGGACGGAGCGGCCGAUGGCAGAUUAGGUAGUCGGUGGGAUAAAAGCUUACCAAGCCGACGAUCUGUGGCUGGUCUGAGAGGAUGAUCAGCCACACUGGGACUGAGACACGGCCCAGACUCCUACGGGAGGCAGCAGUGGGGAAUUUUGGACAAUGGGCGCAAGCCUGAUCCAGCCAUGCCGCGUGCAGGAUGAAGGCCUUCGGGUUGUAAACUGCUUUUGUACGGAACGAAAAGCCUUCUUUUAAUACAGGAGGGUCAUGACGGUACCGUAAGAAUAAGCACCGGCUAACUACGU